This 254-nucleotide ribosomal RNA is filed under the name uncultured bacterium. Its description in RNAcentral is "partial 16S ribosomal RNA". It matches the Rfam family "Bacterial small subunit ribosomal RNA", at positions 524 to 776 of the family's 1533-position model. The record is from RNAcentral.
UACGUAGGGUGCAGGCGUUAAUCGGAAUUACUGGGCGUAAAGCGUGCGCAGGCGGUGAUGUAAGACAGGUGUGAAAUCCCCGGGCUUAACCUGGGAACUGCAUUUGUGACUGCAUAGCUAGAGUACGGUAGAGGGGGAUGGAAUUCCGCGUGUAGCAGUGAAAUGCGUAGAUAUGCGGAGGAACACCGAUGGCGAAGGCAAUCCCCUGGACCUGUACUGACGCUCAUGCACGAAAGCGUGGGGGAGCAAACAGG